This 1115-nucleotide unclassified non-coding RNA is filed under the name Hevea brasiliensis (rubber tree). Lineage: Eukaryota; Viridiplantae; Streptophyta; Magnoliopsida; Malpighiales; Euphorbiaceae. The record is from RNAcentral.
UUAAAAUAUAUUAAAUUUAAUUUUUAAUAUUUUUAAUUAAUAUGAUUAAAACUCUUAACAGUAAUAUCAAAUAUAUACUUCAUAUUCAGUUCUGUAGUUGUACCAACUACCAACUCAACAAACUUUAAGAUAAAGCUACAACUAGCAGAGAAUAAGGGAAAAUAUAUAUAUAAUCAAUUAUAAUUAUAACAUUAAUUUACAUUCACACAAGAUAAAUAAAUAGGUUGGUUAUUUUCAUUUAUUGAAAUAAUAAGAUUUUUAGUUCUGAAGGAGCAUUAUUUAUUUGUAUAUUUAAUGUUUAAAGAGAAAAAUGUCACUACGUUGAGCCUCACAAAAUUGCUAUUUUUUUUAAAGAUGCAUAGAGAAAUUUUAAAUUUGACCUCAUUUAUUUAUUUAUUUAAAAAUAUAUUACUAUAUAAUUUAUUAAUUAUUACUCAAGUUAUUAAUUCAUUAUAAAAUUUUUUUAAAAAAAAUCUAUCCACAUCUAAUAUUUUUAUGAGCCCAGCCAGAAGAAUUCUAGGGCAUGUAUUUUUAAAUAUAGUGUUAAUUAACUCCAUUUAUACCGUUAGAUUCAUGCAUUAACUUUAAAUUCUUAAAAAAAAGAAGCUGGGCUGUCUAAAUAUAACAUAUUUUUUGUGAGCAUGUUUUAUAGGGUUAAAAUUAUUUUUUUUAAUUUAGUGACUUUUUUUAAUAAAUUAUUUGUAACAAAAUAAUUUAAUUAAAUUUUCAUAUAAUUAUAUCUUUUUUUUAAUAUUUUUUUUAAUUAUAUAUAAACUUUUAAUUAUUUUUAAAUUGUAAAUGAUAUAAAAACGAUUUCAUUGAUUGAGUAGAAAAUGAAGAGGUAAAUUAAAUUUAUUUUAAAAAAUUACGCUUUAUUUUUGGCAAGGAAUAAAGGGGUGAAAAGUUGACUCCUUUGCCUCUUGUCACUCCAAAAAAAUAGGAGAAGACUAAGGCCGCACAGUUUAAAGCAGGUUUGAAACAAGUUUGAGGUGAGUAAACUUCUUACUCUGUGACACUCUACUUUGGUAGGAAGAAAAUUUAAAGAGUAACACUUACCCUACUUAAGAGAGGGUAAAGAGCCUCUCCUAAGGCAGGGGAAAGAAAGGUGAGGGAGG